Podarcis lilfordi (Lilford's wall lizard) is the source of this 31825-nucleotide non-coding RNA. Lineage: Eukaryota; Metazoa; Chordata; Lepidosauria; Squamata; Lacertidae. The record is from the annotation of a GenBank genome assembly.
GCUCCCAUUUGGGCACAUCACCUGACAUUCUGAGCUCUUAAUACUCAUUUGUCAAGAGCAAGACUGUGGCUCCAUACUGCCUUAAGGUAAACUCACCGUUAUGGUCCUAUUGACAGAAAACUGAUAGCAAAACCCAUAGAGUUGAAUUUCAUGUGAUUUUUUUCAACAUUAUGUGCUGCCAGAAGAUGUGUGUGUGUGUGUAACUAAGUUUGUUCUUGGUAUGAACUUCCGUGUGCAUGCACACUUCUUCAGUUCACUACACAGAUAUAUUUUGCAGAGGUUGCAAGAUAAACAAAAAUAGAAUUUCUGCCUCCUAUCUUUGCCCGCAGGGCCCGAUCCAUUCUAAUUUAAGUUAAAAUCACUAAAUUGCCUGAUUGAUUUCACGGGAACUGUUGUAUGAUUAACUUUCUCUUAAUUUGGUGCCAAACAUAUGGAGUCUUCUAAAAUCUUUUUUUCUUCCAUCUUCCAUCUUAAAAUACAUUUUAAACAACAACCUUAUAUUUAAGCUUGUUUUCUAUUCUUGCUAGGGAAGGAAUGGACCUUGAGAAAGUUGCUGAAACUCCUGUGGCGCUCAGUUAUUGCAUCACGAUUGUGUGAUUUUAUGCCCUGAAGUGAGCAAAUAAUUUCUAAAGUGUGUGUUUACAGCAACGUGGAAAGUGGGGUACAGGGACAGAAAACUAUAUGGCCAUGCUUAUAUAAAACCGAGAGAAGCAAAACUGUUAAGUUGUGGGUGAACAUAUCUGACGACACAGCGAUUCUUCAAACAGCUCUUCUUUAUUCAGAGGCCAGAUCAGAACUGAACUAAGGAGCUCAGUCAGCCUGCUUAUAUAGAGCUCCAGAAGAACGUAACUGUAGCAACUUUCUAAAACUAUCCAAUCACUGAACGUCACUUUCCAUCCUUCAUUUCCAUAACUAUCUACAGUAUCCCCGUGCUGGCCCAGGGUGAGAACUUCAGUACAUGACACCCCUCCCCACCGAGAUAAGGCGUUAGUUGCAAUCGUAAUGGUUUCUUUAUAUACAGCACUACACGUAAUGGUUCAAUUAGGCACAAAAGCAUUGGUUACAUUUCACAUACUUAGACCAACAGUGAUACAUGUCCAACAACAUAGUCCUUUAAAUAAGUUGGGCGCUUGGAAACUCUGCCUGACCGCCGGGGACUGGUAGCCAAGUCUGGGGUGCCACCCAAUUCUUGCUGAGGCUGUGGUGCGACCCUAGGUGGCGUUGAAACCAAGUCCCCUGGAUCCGCUGCUGUGGGUGGAACCUCCGCAAGUGGAGUUGGUGGAAUGUCAGGCACGGCAGUGGUCUGAGUCUGUGGUAAGUCUGGCAGACCCUCUGAAGUGGCUUGGUUCAGCUCCACGCCGGCAGUUUGCGAGAGAGGUGUAGGUGGAGCCUCACCAUCUGUAAGUGUCUGUUCCGGAGCCACGAGCGCAGUUGGGGGCACCACGGUAGUGUCCAAGUCCCCAACCCUGCGCCUAAGCUGGUCUAUGUGCUGGCGCCACAAGUGUCCGUCUUCGAGUGCCACCUGGUACGAGCGAGGUCCAGUGACUCCCACUACUGUGGCUGGCACCCAAGGAAUGUCCCCCACAUAGUUCCAGGUAAAGACCUGGUUUCCUGGAACAAAUGACCGUGGUGCGUUGGCACAGCCUGGGAGUUCGGCCACAGCAAAGUCUGGGUGCAGCCGGUCGAACGGGGACCUGAGGCGGCGGCCCAUAAGCAGUUCGGCAGGACUCCGCCCUGUGGCCGCAUGAGGGGUGAUGUGUUGUACGAACAAGUAUUCAGCGACCCGCUCGUGCCAGUCUCCCCGGUCCAGGCGCGCCAGUGCCUCUUUUGCCGGGCACACCAUUCUCUCUGCUUGCCUGUUGCUGGAUGGAUGAAAUGGUGCUGUUAGGGCAUGGCGGAUGCCCAGUCCCAAAAGGUACCGCUCAAAAGUGCCUGACAUGAAGUGUGGUCCGUUGUUGGAGACAAGUACAUCAGGACACCCAUGCGUCGCAAAGAGGCCUCGCAGCACCCGGAUGACGGCCUCGGUAGUGGUGGAGAGCAUCAGGGCCACAUCCAGCCAUUUGGAAUAGGCGUCCACCACUACCAUAAAGGUCCGGCCAUGAAAGGGGCCGGCCAGAUCAAUGUGCACCCUCGACCAGGGUGUCUUGGGUGUCUCCCAGGUGUGUCCCUUAGCUGCCGGUGAUGCAGGCCUCGAUUCUUGGCACGCUUGACACGCUUGGCACGCCUGGCAUCAUCCAUGUUAGGCCACCAGACGUAACACCGAGCCAAUGCCUUCAUUUUGACGAUUCCCGGGUGGCCAACGUGCAGAGCCUCAAGGACACGUUGACGGGGUCUUUGGGGAAUCAUGAUGCGGUUUCCCCACAGCAGACAGCCACGAUGAGCUGAGAGUUUGUGUUGUCUGGUUGCGAAGGGCUGGAACUCCGAUGCAAAAGGCCCUUGUGGCCACCCCCUCCACACCCAGUUGAGCACACGGCUGAUGGUGCAAUCCUGGGCAGAUGCGGAGGCCACAGUGGCAGCCGAUACAGGCACUGCCGGAAGAUCCUCAGUCAGGAGGAGUGAUGAAGCAGGAGCCGGGUCUUCCACAAAAGCUGGAAGAGGGCAACAGCUGAGGACGUCGGCAUGGCCCAUCAAUUUCCCCGGGCGAUGGACAAGCCAGUAGUGGUAGGCUGCCAGGAAAACAGUCCAUCACAGCAUGCGCGGCGAGAGGACCGGUGGAGUUGGACGAUCACCGGCGAGGAGGCCCAGGAGUGGCUUGUGGUCGGUGAUGAGGUCAAAAGUCCUGCCGUAGAGGUAUUCAUGGAACCUCUUCACUCCAGCCACAAGUGCCAGUGCCUCCUUGUCGAGCUGGCUGUAAUUCUGUUCAGUGAGAGAUAGCGUCCUGGAAAAGUAGGCGAGCGGUGCUUGUCUUCUGUCUGGAAAAUGGUGACUAAGGACAGCGCCGAUGCCAAAAGGUGAGGCGUCGCAGGCAAGGACCAGUGGCCUGGCUUCACUGUACUGUACCAGCACACUGUCCAAUGAAAGGAGAGCCUUGACCGCGUUGAAGGCCGCCAUCUCCCGAUGACCCCAGGACCGAGGUGUCUUUGUGCUGAGGAAUCGGUGAAGAGGCUCAGCCACCGUGGCUUUGUGGGGCAGGAACAUGUUAUAAAAGUUCAGCAGUCCCAGGAAUGCCUGCAACUCCGUCUUGUUCUUUGGGAUGGGGGCCUGCUGGAUAGCGCGGAUCUUGGAUGUGAUCAGGUGAAGGCCGGAGGCGUCGAUAAGAUAGCCCAGGAACUCCACCUGUGGAACGGCGAUCUGGCACUUCUCCCUCUUUACCUUGAGCCCGGCCUCCUGGAACCUGGUCAGCACGGCACGGAGGCGCUCGAACAGCUGCUGGUGUGAGUCUGCAGACACCAAGACGUCAUCAAAAUAUGGUACCACGCCCGGAAGCCCUUGCAGGAGACGCUCCAUAAGGCUUUGGAAGAUGCCAGGAGCCACACUCACCCCGAACUGCAAACGGCAGCAAUGGAAUGCCCCUCGGUGGGUGACAAUCAUCUGGGCUUCAGCAGUGGCAUCAUCGACGGGCAGUUGUUGAUAGGCUUGGGCAAGGUCCAGCUUAGCGAAGACCUUACCCUCACCCAGGGAAUGCAGCAGGUGUUUGACAACAGGAACUGGAUAAGCGUGCUGCUGAAGUGCCCUGUUGAUCGUGCACUUGUAGUCAGCGCAGAUUCUCACCGACCCGUCUGGCUUGACAGGCGUGACGAUGGGGGUUUCCCACUUGGCGUGGUCAACCGGCUCCAAAACUCCUUGGGCGAUCAGCUUGUCCAGUUGUUCGUCCACCUUAGCCUUGAGAGCAAAGGGAACCCGGCGUGGCUUUAGCUUGAUGGGGGCGACUUGUGGAUCAAGGCUAAAGGAGAUGGGUGUACCUGUAUAUUGCCCCAAAGUGCCAUCAAAAACCUUGGCAAAAUUUUUGACCAGACCCUCAGUCUCUGCGUUAGAGAUGCAGUUGAUGCCGGUGACUUCCAGGCCGAGGGCAUCAAACCAGUCUAGCCCUAGGAGGCUUGGCUGCUGACCUUCGACCACCACUAGUCAGAGCAGGCCCGAAAAAUCCUUGAAGGCGAUCCAGAACCGGCCAACACCUACCACGGGAAUGUCAUUUCCCUGGUAGUCUCUCAGGUGUACUCGGUGAGAGUCGAGUUGCCUUUUGGACACUCUGGGUACCAGUCUUUUGAUGGUGCUCCAAGACACGAUGGGCAGGGCAGGCCCAGUAUCGAUCUCCAUGUCACAUGGAGCUCCUUCAAUGAGCACCGUGACGUUCAGCUUGCGUCGCGUAGGCGAGUCGGUUUGGCCAAUCGUGGUUCCAGACGGGCAGCGGCAGUUGGUGAGAGCGAAACAGCUUUCCUUGGCGGACUGGAGUGAAGACUUGGACUUGCAAGUCGGUGAAGGGGGGGUGUCAGCCGGAGCCGAUCAGCAGACCUUAGCGAUGUGGCCCCUUCUGGAACACCUCCGACAGAUGGCAUCUCUGAAUCGACACUUGGCACGGGAAUGGUUGCCUCCGCAGCCGGCACAUUCCGAUUGGCCCUUGGACUUCUUUGGAACUUCCUGCACUCCCGCUUUGUCUGGUGCACGUCAUCGUCUUCACUGGAGGAUGCCUCAUCACGGCUGGCCUCUUCAUGAUGCACUGGAACUGGCUUCCUAGCAAGACGCGGGCUGCUGGCCUUGCGGAUCUCCUGGGCGGAGCAUUCGGCAGCUUCCGAGACCACGGCCUCCUCAAUGGCUUUCUGCAGUGUGAGGUCUGGCUUGGCGAGGAGACGCCGUUGCAGACGGAUGUCCUGGACCCGACAGACGAUUCGAUCCAUCAGGGCAUCAUCUAAAUCUCGGAACUCGCAGUGCAUUGCAGCCUGUCGGAGGGUGGCAGUGUAGUUGUUAAUUGACUCCCCCUCUGACUGGUUCCGGUGGUAGAAUGCAUGGCGGGCAACAAUCUUGGACUGCUUGGGCGAGUAGUGGUUGCAGAGCUUCUCUUGAAUUGUGUCCCACGGUGUUGCCUGGACUGCUUCAGGCGCAACCAAUGCUCAGGCCGUCUCAAACACCUCAGGCCCACAGAGGCUGAGGAAUAGGCCCAGCUUCCACUCCUUUGAUACUUCUGUCAGCUCUUUGGCUUGGAGGUAGCAGUCAAACCGAGCGAGGUAGGAGUCCCAUGAUUCACAGGCUGGCGCAAACGGCGGUAGAGGCACAAGUGAAGCCAUGAUUCCGAUGCUGGCGUGAAGGGUGAUGGAUGGAGCACAGUGCUCUAGCCAGAACAGUCAGCUCUGAAUUGGUUCUGUUCAGUGAUUUCGCUCAGUGAUUCAGCUCAGUGAUUUAGCUCAGUUCAGAGGGUGGCUGCAUCUGGCUGUGCUCUGAUGUCCAUCAAUUCCACCUUCGUCGCCAGUGUUAAGUUGUGGGUGAACAUAUCCGACGACACAGCGAUUCUUCAAACAGCUCUUCUUUAUUCAGAGGCCAGAUCAGAACUGAACUGAGGAGCUUAGUCAGCCUGCUUAUAUAGAGCUCCAGAACAACGUAACUGUAGCAACUUUCUAAAACUAUCCAAUCACUGAACGUUACUUUCGAUCCUUCAUUUGCAUACAAACUAUCCAACCACUGAACGUCACUUUCGAUCCUUCAUUUGCAUAACUAUCUACAGUAUCCCCCUGCUGGCCCAGGGUGAGAACUUCAGUACAUAACAAAAACCAAGGCAUGCAGACAAGAAAGACAUAAAACAGAAAGAGUAUGCUGAAAAUCUGAUUCAGUAGGUAACAGGAAAUUUAGAAAGCAAUCACUUUUCAGGGUGAGCAAAUAAUGUUUGAAACAAUUAGAGGCAGCAAUGGAAACUGCUAUUGGGGAUGCAUUACAUGUAAUAUUAGAAAAAGCACUUAGGUGGGAAACAAUAAGAGGAUCAUCAAUAAGAGGUGGAUCAUCGUAGAUGGUGUGUUUGGCCUUCUUCCAUUUCUAAAUUGCUUUCGGUUAUCUGUUUGGUUUGGAAGUAUUUUAAACCACGCACUGUAAAAGUUGUCUUCAGUUUUGUCAUAUAUAUUUUUAUAGCCCCUAGCAUCCUUCUCUUUUCAAGGGCAAUGUAGUACAAUGGGCACACACAGUGGAUGGACUGAAAUGAACAAGAGGCUGAUGUCUCAAGUGAACACUGCUUAAUUAUGUAUGGCCAGCUGCUUUCAUUGACUAUGAUACAUAUGUGCCAGAGGAGAGCAGGGAAGAAAGAGGUAUGUGAAACAAGGGUCUGAAUCUUCCAUUUAUUUAGUUGAGAGCAAUGCCAAAGGAAUUUUAAAAAGUUAUCUAUGCUAGCAUUACAUUGUUAACAAGUCUCAGUAUCUGGCAGCAGUAUGAGGAAUUCUACACAGUCAUACAAAACAUGUCCCAACUGUAUUUAUCUUAAUUCGUUUUUAGAAAAGAGCAGUGUUAACAUCCCAUCUGUAGGUGGAAGGGAGUACAGGAGAACAGCCAUGUUUUAAAAAGAAAUUUGUUUUAAACAAAAUAUUUAAGAGAAAGCACCUCCCCAAAAAAAUUAAUAAGCAGGGCAGAGUGGGGUAGUGACACAAACUUGCUCCCAUAAGGCUUUUAGACUUAAGAAUGUUGUGCUCUUGGCUACAAUAACUAGAAAUCACAAUCCUCUCUUAAAUCCACAUACUGGUCUGGCACAGAAUUAGCCACAUUCUUCUUCACUUGUCCAGAUCCUCAAAGUGUCCCUAUUUUCCCGGGACAGUUCCAGAUUUACAGAAGCUGUUCUUGUUUCCGAUUUUAUCCCGGAAUGUCCCGCUUUGCCUUAGGACGUCCCUAUUUUCAUCAGAAAAAUGUGGGAGGCUAUGGAGUUAUCUGCCCCCCCCCCAAGUUAUUUGAAGGCAGUCCUGUAGUUUUUAAAUGUUUUGUGUUUUGUUGUGUUUUUAUAUGUGUUGGAAGCCACCCAGAGUAUAAAUUUAAAAAUUAUUAUGGAAUAGGAUGUCCCAGAGAAAUAUUGGAGGGUAUGCUUGUCACCUUCUCAGAGUGAUUCCUAGUGCUAAAACACUGGGACCGGGGUGGGGUAAGCCUCUAUUUUUUCACUCCUCAACCUUGCUAAGAGGCUCCAAGAACAACUAGAGCAGAGCCUUCCAAAUUUUUCACGUUGGUGACACACUUUUUAGACAUGCAUUGAUAAGUUCUGGGUGAACAUAUCUGACGACACAGCAAUUCUUCAAACAGCUCUUGUUUAUUCACAGGCCAGAACAGAACUGAACUGAAGGGUUCAGCCAGUCUGCUUAUAUAGAGCUCCACUAGAACGCAACAGUAACCAUUUUCUGUAACUAUCCAAUCACUGAACAUCACUUUCGAUCCCUUAUUUGCAUAUGUGGACCUGAACUAUCUACAGUAUCCCCCUGCUGGCCCAGGGUGAGAACUUCAGUACAUAACACGCAUCAUUCUGUGACACUGCUAUUCAGUUUUACUAGCAAACCAGAGGUUAAAAUAAUCCCUUUCCAGCCCUGGGAGAACCGCAGGGCGUGUCGCGACAUACAGUUUGGAAAACUCUGUACAGUACUAGAGGCCACUUGCUGAGUACACUAAACUAUUUUUCUUUACUGCAUAUAUUCACAGCUUUUCUCCCACUUUUGCUUUAUAUACUGCUUUCAUAAAAAAAAAUCAUUUAGAAUAUGAGUUUGACUGUAUUUCUGUACCACCCAUCGAGGUUGCAUGGUGCCACUGGCUUCACUUGCAACAAUCAUCUCCAAAGGAAAGAAUACACACAUAUGUAUUCCAUGGAUUUCAGAGACACAGUUGUGCAGGAUUCCAUAUUGCAUGGAAGGCGUAUACACAGAGAGGUCUGUGUGCACAGCAUCUGACCACACCAUGAGGAGUGUGUCUGUGUGUGGCAGUGCUUCACUACCUUGAGAGGAGAACCGGAAACAUGAGCCUGGAGCCCCAUUCUACAUUUGAUUCCCUUUCAUGCAUGAAAGAAGCGUGAAACUGCAGCAUAUUGCAUUAUUUGGAGGAAGGCCCUAUGGUUUGAAAGCGCUGGUAAACAGGAUAUUUCUGCAACUUGUACUACCUUUUCAUUUAUAUAUGUAUACUGGGUAUGUUUUUGUUUUUUACUGUUCAGUAUGUCUUGGGAUGAAUAUGUAAGUCGUCUCGAGGGAACAAGUGGAAAAGCAGGUUAUAUAUUUUAAGAUUAAUAAACCAAUAAUCAACACACUAAAAAAGAAGCACAUUUUAAAUGAGAAAACUAAUCUCUGUAUUAUCUGAAACCAGAGGAUUUUUUGUAUCCUCAACCUUUGAAAGAAAAGUCAAUAAAAACUUGAGUCUUAAUUAUAAGUAUACAUAAAUGCUGCAAAGCUAUUUUUCUGCCGUGUAACUCUUCUGACCUUCAUUCCACAUGCAUGGCUGGGGCCAAGCACUUUUAAGCUCCAUUGAUUUUGGUGGGAAAGAUUGAAGCAUAUGCUUAUCUCCCUCCGUGGAAUCAAUGGGGCUUAGAAGUGCUAGGUUGGGAAGGAUCAUGUCCUACAUAAAUAAUGUGUAUGUGGAGCACAAGGAAGAAAAUGCCUUACAGUUCUCUGACAGCAAAUAGAAGGGCUCCAUGCCUGUCGUACAAAGCUCCGCUGACAGAUCCAUGCCCAUCUUUCAUUAGCUUCAAAUAAAGAAAUAUUGUUCUGGUCUCCAAUAUUAUUUCACAUGGCAUGGGCACAUACUGUAACGAGUUUGUGUGCUAGGAUUGGUGCUUUACAAUUCUUGCACGACCAUUGUGCCAAAAAACCUGAAGACAUAGCUUACAAGGCAUUUUAAACAUUUUUUUAUAUACAUUCAUGUGGCAUGUGGAGGCAUACAUUCUGUGCCUCCAGGUGUUUGUUGUCAGCAUGUUUAUCCUUGACCAGCAAUCCCUUUCUUUGACUAGCAUCAUAAGCCUAACCAUGACUACUCAAAAGAAAAUCCUUUUGAACACAACGGGACUUACUCCCAGGUAAGUUGAGUUCAGAUUGCAGCCUCAGUAAAGUUACAGCACCCCUGUUUUUCGUCUUUGGAUAUCACAAAUUAAAUGUUUUUAAUUCAGAACUAGUGUGGGGCAAGCCCAUAUAGAUGCUUACAUAGAAGCAGACAUAUUUUUUGAGUAGGAUUGCCUUGUUAAGCUCUUUAUAUAUUGGUUGCCCUGAUACUAACUGGAAAGCACCAAUUUAGCAUGGUUCUGCCUGGGAAUGGGCCAAGGAGGAAUGAAUGCCUGCUCCGACUCCUGAAUUAGUAGCAGGCCCCUCCCACUUUUACACACUGUCACUUCAGUACAUGUGUUGCUAUCCUCUGCCACAUGACAUACAAAAUCAGAAGAAUGGACUCCUCAAGGACCUUUUCUGAUUCUGGCUUAGCCCCUUCAGCAUUUAUAAUGAAGUCACCACACGCAAUGCUGUCACAAUUAAUGCAGGGAGUGAUGGGACUGCACCAAACCUGAGAACAAGAUCCCAUGGAACACUAACCUUAUUAAAUGUAUGGGGUGGUCGAGAGGUCUUUUCCACCUUCAGACCAUAUAUGUGGACUAGCUGAUCCAUGGGGUCCCUUCCCAUUCUACAGUACUCUAAUUCUAUGAAGACAUUCAUUUUAGUACAGGACUCUUUGCACCCAUCUUUACAUCCGAGCUUUACUUGAUCUCAAGUUUUAGAAAAGCACCGCUCAUGCUCACAGUGGCGAGAUGUUUCAUCAUCACAUGGGCGUUCUAGCAAGCAUUGCUGACAUGUAAGCAUUUGUUUGUAGAAAGGGACCCACAUCUCAGCGAGCUUAAAAUAAGUUUGAAGUGUGGGAGGGAAAGACUCAUUGACCACUAUAAAGUGAGGGCAACGCUACAAAAUGUCUUCAGCUUGUUCACUGGCCUCUUUUGUAUGUCAUUUCAGUAUACCCCACCCAGUGCUUUUUUUUCUAAAAAAAAAAUGUUCAGGGGUACUCUCGUUUUCCUACUCAUAUUGAAAUACUGCCCCUCAAUGAGGUCAAACUUAGAUUCACAAAAUGUUUAGGGGUAUGCGUACCCCUGCGUCCCCCCAGAAAAAAGCACUGCCCCCACCUGACCCCACAAAUUUCCUAAAAGGAGGGCUCAAAAGCUCCAGUGAAUACUGGCACAGAAAACAAUAGGGCAAUUUUAAAAUAAAUAAAAAAAAUUAGGGAAGCUAUGUUGACUGAAACAUUUUAGUCAACGAAGCAUCCUCCACAGUUUUACAGGACUUAGCAUCCGUUUCUGGCCCCCACCCCCACCUGUGUGCCUUGUAAAUAUGGUAUGCCUCCUCAAAGCCAGAAGAAUGUGCCCUGCCAUUAUCAACCUCCGUAAGGAAAAAAGAGAGAUGUCAUGUAGAAUUUGCCGGGACUCAAAGCAAUCAAAAACAUACAUGAAUUGAUAGAGACGGAUCUUAGCAACAAGCUGUGGAGACUAGGAAGUCUCACUGGCAGAAUGUAGUAGGUGAUUUGAUAGGCUCUCGUUUGGUAUCCAUUUUGCAUUAACAACUCAGAGGCAGCUUGGAUUUGACAGCUCUUUUGUAGCCUCUUAAUACAGCUGCGAAACCCCAAAUGCAGCUCUGUGUCUUGAAUAUCAAUCAGACACAACCAUUUUCAGAAAUAACAUUUACUUCUUAUUACAGGAAAUGCCUCUUUCCCAGCUACAGUGCCACUACCCUGGAACUAGUAGUACUGGGCAUAUUUUGAAAAGAAUAAUAUAGCUGUAACUGACUGAAGCAGCACUAAAGAUUUAGGGUUAUCUGUUUGAGCAGCCACAGAAAGGGACAGGGGCAGAAUUAAUCAUAUUUCUUUAAACCACUAGUUUAGUAGAAUUGCAACAGGCAUGCUGAUAAUGAAAUUAAAUUCUAAACUAUUAUAAUAAAUUUUUGGAGAAUCAGAAUCAGAGCAGUGUUGGGGGGGGGAGGGAUUGUUUAACCCUCUCUUCCAUGAGAUAUUUCCUGAUCUACCUCUCACCUCCAAAGAAACUGCUAUAAAAAUCACAGGGGGAAAGAUGAAUGGGCAUAGCCAGGAUUUUUGUUGGGGGGGGCAGAACCUCAGUUUGCUAUGUAUUUUUAAUUUAUUUUUAUUUAUUUUGAGUGCAACUGCCCCCCCUUUGCUAUACCCAUAGAAAGAUACACAUGUACCUACAUUUCCCCUUCCAAAUGAUCAGAAACAUGUGCUUGAAGUUAACCAUUACUCACUUCUUAAGUUGGUUUUAAUGCAACAUUUAUCGUUUGAGUUGGCUUCAGGCCAUGAUCUUUAGCACGCAUGUCAUUUUAAAGGAACAAGGAAUAUGAUAUCACAGUUAUGUACUUUGGAUUCUACGCUCGCCCAUGCCACUUAAAACAUUAUAUUCAAAGUCUCAAGGUGAGAUGGUAAGCAAGCCUGAGAUGUGAUGCUGAUUCUAUCCCGCUUCCUUCCAUAUUCUUACUGCAAACACGCAGGCUGUCAGGUCGAUCAUAACCAUAGUAUAGGAGUGGGGGGUAACACUUUCCACAUCACACUUUUCCAAAUCACCUGCCUCCACCCCCACCCCCGUUUUAUCCACAGGAGAAAACUAGUACGUACUCCUUGUUCCAAGGCCUCCCAUGUUUCCGUUGGCCUGCUCCCUGGCUCUGAUGCUUGCUUGUUUCCUGGCUCAUCUCAGACAGCCGCCUACAGCUCAGCCCCUUGACUCUCACAAACGAAAUGAUGAAUGGUCAAGUUAACCAAAGGUCUCACUUCCCUUGGCCAAGGAACAAUCAUAGGGCCACCAUACGCCCCAGAUAUUACACUUUUGGGGUGUCCUGGUUUUUAUUUUUUGAAAUAUGGCAACCCUAAACUUCUGCACACAAUGAAAAAAACAUUUUUUCACCUUCCCUCAUUUCCAGCUGCACCUGGGGAAGAUAUAGAUCAUGGAUUAUUUAAUUUCUAUACCGCUUAAUAUACCGUAUUUUUCACUCUAUAAGACGCACCAGACCACAAGACGCACCUAGUUUUUGGAGGAGGAAAACAAGAAAAAAAUAUUCUGAAUCUCAGAAGCCAGAACAACAAGAGGAAUCGCUGCAAAGUGAAAGCAGCAAUCCCUCUUGCUGUUCUGGCUUCUGGGAUAGCUGUGCAGCCUGCAUUCGCUCCAUAAGACGCACACACAUUUCCCCUUACUUUUUAGGAGGGGAAAAGUGAGUCUUAUAGAGCAAAAAAUACGGUAUUUAAAAUAUCGCUAAGUAGUAUAGACAGGUGAAAAAGAGGGCAGGGCUCCUGAAGGUUUAAUAAUUGUUUCAGGAGGUAUAAUUUGUAAUCAUUCCCUUUCCCAUGCACCUGUAAAAACCGUAGGACUCCUGUUUUCUUUUUCGCCUGGCUACCCUAAUGGAUAUGCUAGUGAUUUUGUUUCUCUGCUGUGCACAGUGUUUGAGGCUACUGCUGUUUAACGUACCAUGUGUGCCAACUUACGAAAGCAUAAUUCUAAUUUGACCCAAUGAAUUCUUAAAUGCUGGAAGGCAGGCCUGUAUCCAAUAAAACUAGCCAGCCCUUUGGUGCUCCCAAAUAUGCCAUGUACUUGGCCUUCUAAAUUACCCAUCACUGGCUGAUCAGAUUGGAAAAUAAAUGCGCAUUUGCAGCACCGAGCAGACAUUUUAAUAGCCAAGCAGCCUAGGUAUGGAUGACUGCCCAAAACAACACAUUGUUAAUGCAAGUGGAACCAAAACUGGGGGGGGGGGGUAUUAAGAUCUUGGCACUGGGGCCUGUAGGUAGGAAAUGAGGAUGAAGAGCCCCACAACAGACUGUAUUUGGCUUUUCCAGAACAGCCUUAAUUCCAAGAAGUGGUGUGUAAUGAUGGGAAUCUGAGAGAUGAUUCAUGUUUGUUUUAUGAGAUGCUGUUUACUGCAGCAUGCAGUCUGUAUCUUUAUUACGCAGUUAGAGCGAUUGGAUGGCUAGAUCUGGCAGAAUGCUGUACUCACAGUCCACUGCUCUUCACCCAAUUUCAGGAUUUAGUGUUGCUGGGAGGAGCAGGGGCUUGUCUGUUUGGGGAUAGGGAGCAGCAGUGCAGAGUGCAAGCUGGUCCCUUGGGGAGUGCCAGGAAAGAAGAAAGGCCUGGGGCAUGACGGAUUGCAGAGCUGGGACAUCCUCUCGAUGUCAGAAAGCAAAUGCCCAAAGAGGAAAGGAGUGGGUUGAAAGCAAGGAAGAAGAAGAAGAAGAAGAGUUUGGAUUUGAUAUCCUGCUUUAUCACUACCCUUAGGAGUCUCAAAGCGGCUAACAUUCUCCUUUCCCUUCCUCCCCCACAACAAAUACUCUGUGAGGUGAGUGAGGUUGAGAGACUUCAGAGAAGUGUGACUAGCCCAAGGUCACCCAGCAGCUGCAUGUGGAGGAGCAGGGAAUCGAACCUGGUUCACCAGAUUACGAGUCCACUGCUCUUAACCACUACACCACACUGGCUCUCUGGAAGGUGCAUCCAAGAAAAAAAUUCUCAUAAUAUCCAGGGGGGCAGGGAAAGGAGAAGAAAGUCAGGUAAAGGAAGAAGUUGGGGCCCCUUAAUUUCUGUUCUGAUCCCAAACGGUUCACAUACACAUGGUUUUGACUUGCUUUUACAUUUAUCUGCUCUAAUGGUCCCAGCCACUUCUUCAUUCGAGCUCGUGCAGAUGCAACAUGGCAAACAACAAGCCAGAGGAAAAGCAUUCACCUGAAAUUACUGCCUUUGUAAGCAGCGAAGCAUAUAUAAGCGGCUUACGGAAUGAAAGCAUGUUUGAAAGCCAAAAUACCAAGUUACUGUUGGGCAAUGAAAGAUUCGUGUGUGUUUCCCACCCCCGAUUCUGAACCCACACUUGUCUGUACAUACAAAAUGGCUGGACCUCUGCCAAUGUUGCAUUUAUUUACUAUCGAAAUGCAGCCGCACUGUGGGAAGGCAGGUCUGGCCGAGAAACAGAACCGAUGUUGCAAUGUGGAUUUGAGUUGUUUGCAAUUUCAUCUGCUGCGAAGGCAAGAUGAGAGAAACACACCCAAGAAUAUUCUCAGGAAGGCAGGAGACCCCCCCCCCAAAAAAAAACCACCCUUAGCAAAGGAACAAAUGGGUUGAGGAGGAUUAGCUCCUUUAGCCCAAGCUAUGCAGUUACCCUGUACAGUGGUACUUCAGGUUAAGUACUUAAUUCGUUCCGGAGGUCCGUUCUUAGCCUGAAACUGUUCUUAACCUGAAGCACCACUUUAGCUAAUGGGGCCUCCUGCUGCCGCCGUGCUGCCAGAGCACGAUUUCUAUUCUCAUCCUGAAGCAAAGUUCUUAACCCGAGGUACUAUUUCUGGGUUAGCGGAGUCUGUAACCUGAAGCGUAUGUAACCCGAGGUACCACUGUACAAUAAAUAUAUUUGGGGGCUCAUGCCCAUAUAUGGGCAUGGGGAUAUGAGAAGGGGUACCUGGUCCACACCCCCUUGUCCCCUCUUCAAAGGUGCUCUUCCAUAAAACAAAGCAUGAACCCAAAUCUCAAGCGCCACAGAUCUCUCCAUCUGUACAAGCAGGGGAGCUUACCAGACAUCAUUGCUUUUUGCCUUAUUGCUGAAAUCCCUCUCUUGGCGGGCAAAGAGAAAACAAAACAAUCUGAGCUAAUGGAUUUGUAACAGAUAUCAACAGCAAACCACUUGGUCAUUCCAUUUUCUUCCUUUCACUCUCAAGAGGAUCCGAAAUGGGUAAAUGCUAGUAUCAGUCUGCAAGCUAUUUUUAAUGAAAAUGGAGGCACUUUUGUCUAAAGGUUUCCAGGAAGUGGAUGCUGAAAGAAUCCUAGGCUGCAUCUCCACCCCCCAAAAAGGAAAGAAUCCUGGGAACUGUAGUCUGUUUAGGGUGCAGGGAACUGUAGCUUUUUGAGGGCUAAACUACAGUUCCCAGGAUGAGAGAGAGAGAGAGAGAGAGAAUGAGAGUGCGCCCAAUCACAAUGGAACAAACCACCUAGAGUCAGCUAACCAGGUCCUUCUCUGAAACUGUUCCUUCUCUUGGAAGGCAAAGCUGCAAGUGAGAAGCAGGCUUUGCAAGGGUGUUUUGUACUGCAAAUAGCUGUCUUGCAGAAGGCUUGCCACUGUUUUGUCUUUUUAACAGAAAGUAGCUCACACCCCAGCCAAAAUCCCUCCCCUGUUGCAAAAUAAAUUAUUAUUAUUAUUAUUAUUUGAAUUUAUAUACCGCCCUAUACCUGGAGGUCUCAGGGUGGUUCACAGAAUAAAAUCAAAAUAGAAAGCCAUAAAAUACAUAAUCAAAAUAAAAGCAACAACCCAAUAGCCCACAAAAGAUUAUAAGCUCACUGGGCUAGUGGCUGGUGGCUGGUCUGUUGUUUAUUAACAUGGAUAGUACUAUUAAAAAUAACCAGGACUUUUUUUCUGCCAGAACUCGCCAGAACUCAGUUCCGGCACCUCUCAAGAGGGUGCCAUUGCCAUUCUAAGAGAAUGAAGGAGGUGUUCAUGGUGAGUUCCGACACCUCUUUUUCUACAAAAAUAGCACUAAUUAUAAUUAUAAUCAGUGCUUUCUUUUAAAAAAAAAUAUGUUUAGGGGUUCUCUCAUUUUCCUACUCAUAUUGAAAUACUGCCCCUCAAUGAGGCCAAACGUAGAUUCACAAAAUGUUUAGGGAUAUGCAUACCCCUGCGUCCCCCCAGAAAAAAGCACUGAUUAUAAUACGAUUUCAAGGUAGCAAAAGAUCUGAGCGCCAUCCUUUUGGGAAAUCUCAAGCAGCUAUCAUUUGUGCAAUUCUAAGCAGGAACAGCACGAAACAAAUGACCAAAUCCAAAAGCAGACCACAUGCGGUGAAUUAACAUUAAGAAGCAACAGCAGUGAGCUAACCUUCAGUGCAGACAUACUUUAGUUCACUUCCAAAGUACUGUCUGAAGCGCCUUUCAGAUGUUUGAAUAAAGCAAGAUCAAUACGGUAGGUGGGUGGCGCGGGGGAGGGACCAGGGAAGGUGUCAUCACAACAUCAAACUCUUUAUAUUAAUCUCCCAGUCUGAAACAAGCCUUUGUGUACAUACUUCCACCUCUACAAUUCUAUGACUCAUAUAACUUCUGCAUGCAGUGGAGAGAGUCCUAGUACUAAGAAAAUUUAAGGGCAGGGGGAGUUAGCAGUGCACACAUUGUGGUAGUAACAGGUGGGUGGGUGUUUAGUAUGUAUGAGCUUUGUGCUGUUCCAAAAGCCAGGCUUCUGUAAAUAACCCCACCAAAGGUUUUAGGGAGGAUUAAAUUUUGGGGUUAAUACUAGGUCAGACAUCCCAGCCAGUGACCGAGAUAAGGAAAUGACAUUGUUCUAAAACUAAUCACAUCGCUCUGCACCCUCCCCUAGUUCUGUACGCAGCCGCUGUCUCUUGCUUUUCCCCUUUAUCUCAAGCCUCUGGGUGGCUGCAGGGUUUUCACUAUCAGCGAUGAUAAGCAGGAAGAAAACAGCUGAGAUUGUUUAGACGUCAUUGCGUGGUGGGGCUCCCUCCCCCGCCCCACCUACAAAUGUCCAUAUAUUCACUGGAAUCUGUAGUUCAGAAUGAAAAACUGCACAUUCGUAGAUGAGUUCAGGGCCCAAUUGUGUAAUGUCUUGGUUUUACUUUUUAGCAGGUGGUGAUCAGGGUUGGGACCACAACAUGUGGAGAGGUGGCUUAAACCUUCUCCCUUGUAUCUUGGUGCUGGUGAAAAUCUCUCCCCACUCCUGCCGCCAUUUCCAUUAGAGGGUGUGUGCGUGUGCGUGUGUGGCUGCCAUGGUUCCAGUGAGAGUCCCCUCUCUCUUGUGCAAAUAGCAGCUGGGGAGGGGGCAUAUUUUCACUGAGGCUGUGAUCAUCGCUCACAGUUGCAUAAAUGCUUCUCCCCCUCUCCAUUUUAUCCCCACAACAACCCUGUUAUGUAUUUUAGACUGCGAGAGUGAUUGGCCCAAGUGACCUUCAUGGCUGGGUCAGGAUUUGAACCCUGGUCUCCCCUAUCUUCCAACCGCUACACUACACUGGUUCUCAUUAAAGACCAACUGUCCAUGUGUCAUGGUCCUGAUUUUAUCUCUCACCCCCCCGCCCCCGUUAUUCUUUUUUUAUUUUAAAAAGUUGUUUAUUGGGUUUUUCAGAUUAAAAUUUUACAGUCACAUGUCCAACAUACAACAUAAAAACAAUAUUCCAAAGAGUCUCUUGGACUUCCCUCCUCCCCUCUGUGCGUCCUGUUGUUAAUCAUUUCUUCCUGCAUCUUUUAUAAUAAUCCUAUUUUUUUAUCUCUCCAUUGUAUCCAAAAUUCACCAUUAAAACUACAAGUGAUAUUCCAAUCCUACUAACGAUUUUAACCAUUUACAAUGGUCUUUAGGAUAAGUUAUAAAUUUUCCCCAUUCCUUAUUUAAAAUGUGGUCUUUCAGAUUUCUGAUUCUUCUGGUCAUUAUAGUCAUUUUGGCACAAUCCAUCAAUUUGAUCUGCCAUUCUUCUCUGGUAGUGACUUUAUCUUUCUAUCUCUGGGUCAAUAACAUCCACGCAGCCCUGGUCGCAUACAUAAAUAUUCUUUUCUGCUCUCUUGGGAUUUCGACACCUCAAACCUGUUAUUCUUAAAGUAAAAGCCCACAUGUGAAAUGCAUGUAUCUCUUUAACCCAGAGCUUUCUGAACUGUGUGUAGCGACACAUUGGUGUGUCGACUGCAGUGUGUAGGUGUGUCAAGAGAACACUCUCUGUUAUCCUCUCAGGGCUGAAAAGGGGCUAGUUUAACCUCAAGUUUGCUAGUAAAACUGAAUUACCAUGUCACGAAAUGAUGUAUGUCUAAAAAGUGUGCCACCAACAUGAAAAGUUUGGAAAGCUCUGCUUUAACAUGUCAUCCAGUUUGGCUAUCCGCCCAGUAGGGUGUUAGGUUGUGUUGGCUUUGCAAGAAUCAAGCAGAGCAACUAUAUACGAGGCAGAAUCAGGCCAGACAUAGUAAAUCAACAGCAAGUAACUCUAUGUUACUUUAUUUUCUGAAAUGCCAGUCCCUCAAAGCCCAUUGUUGUGACCCGACAAUAAAAUAAUGUCAAAGCACCUACCGUAUUUUUCGCUCUAUAGGACGCACCAGACGAUAAGACGCAGCUAGUGGGGGGGGGGAGGAAACAAGAAUAAAACAAUUCUGAAUCCCAGAAGCCAGAACAGCAAGAGGGAUCUGGCUUCUGGGAUAGCCUCUUGCUGUUCUGGCUUCUGGGAUAGCCGCUGAAGCCUCUCCUGGGCAGCGGGAUGAAGGCUCCCCCUGCCUGGAAGAGGCUGUGCACGGGUAAGCUGCCCUCUGUACCUUCCCCCAUCUCCCGCAAGAACCGUGCGCUCUUUAAAGGGAACGCGGUUCUUGGGAGCUUUUCUGGGAUGUGGGGGAAGGGACAGAGUCGCACGCUCUGUCCCUUCCCCCAAGAGCCGCGCGAAGCCGCAGGGCACGGGGAGCCUUCAUCCCCGUGCCCUGUGGAGGCUUUGCGGGGCUAUCCAAAAACCAGAAUAGCUAAAGGGAGCACUGUGCAGCACUCUCUCUAGCUGGUCUAGCUUUGUGCAAAGCCUCUGCUGCCCUGCAGAGGCUUUGCGCUGCUAAGCCAGAAGCUAGAACAGCAAGACGGAGCGCUGCGCAGCACUCCCUCUCCCUGUUCUGGCUUCUGGCUUAGCCGCGCAGCCUGCAUUCGCUCCGUAAGACGCACACACAUUUUCCCUUACUUUUUAGGAGGGAAAAAGUGUGUCUUAUAGAGCGAAAAAUACAGUAUGUUUGCAUAGAAAGCAGCAUGGGAAAUGCUGGUUGCUGGCCUUGAGCAUGGGUAGAUUCACUAUUAAGGCUGCAAUCCUGUACAGACUUACCUGGGACUAAGCUGAGUAGGGCUUACUUCCAAGUAGACAUAUACAGAAUUGCACUAUACGACACCAACUGCAACAAAGCUAUAUUUGGCCCGAUCGCAUCCCUACGAUAUAUAGUGACCCCAUUCUGUGAGAACCCAUUGUAGCUUUGUGGCUACAAGUUCUCUCCAUUAAUAUGUGAAGCUGGCAGAUAAUGAAACAGAACUUUAUAGAUUUUUCCUCCAGGGCCAAUUUACACAUUAUUAGCUGUUUGAUUUGGGGGAUUGAUUGUUAAACCAAUCUAGAAAUUAUAGCUCUGUGAGGGGAACAGGGGGUCUCCUAAUAAAUUACAGUUUCCUGGAGUCUUUAGGAGAAACCAUGACUAUUUGACGUGGUGUGAAACUGCUUUAAAUUGGUUAUUUCAACAAGCCUUCUUAUGAAAAUGAUUCCUUGUUUUUAUAAACUUAUCUGACAACCCAUUUCUGUAUUUCUGUUUCUCUGGUGUAUUCUGCUUGAUUUUUCCUGCUAUGUUGUUUGUAUCAAUGUAUAUAUUUUGGUACACUUAAACUGUCAAAAACAGCAGUGCAGUAUUCAGUAAAGCACAAAACCUGAUUGAUAAUCCUGUCUGAUCCACAUGUUAAGUCAAAGAGGUGCAGACUGGGAUACUUCAUACUGGAAUUAAUAAAUAUCACAUUUCUCAAGCAACCCAAAGCAACAUUCCAGGUCAUUGUGUGACAUUGUCAAAACACCGUAAAGCCACGACACAUUGUAGUUGCAUUAUUGAAUGCUGACCACUAGCUUUCUGGUGUAGUAAUUUGUGACAGCCCAUAAUGCAUGAGUCAUAUAUAUUCAGAAUAAAAUGUCUUUCAAAGUUCAUGACAUUAAUCAUUAGCUGGUUAUUUAAUUUAGCAUUGACUGCAAUAUGAUUUGUAAUUACAAAAUUCCUGCUCUGAGUCAUGAAAUGCAGAAAGAGGGGGAAAUGUACAGUGGUACCUCAGGUUACAUACGCUUCAGGUUACAUACGCUUCAGGUUACAGACUCCGCUAACCCAGAAAUAGUGCUUCAGGUUAAGAACUUUGCUUCAGGAUGAGAACAGAAAUCGUGCUCCGGCGGCGCAGCAGCAGCAAGAGGCCCCAUUAGCUAAAGUGGUGCUUCAGGUUAAGAACAGUUUCAGGUUAAGAGUGGACCUCCGGAACGAAUUAAGUACUUAACCCGAGGUACCACUGUAUUAACAAAGGCAGAAUAUUUCAUCUUACAUACACAGAGUGUUUACUCCAGCACUGUAACAAUCUUCCUGCCCAGAAGUAUAUGCCUAAGACGGAUGGAUCCUUUUGAUACGUACAGAUGAACUGCUCUAAUUAUAUCCCCUGCCUGCCUUUGCUGGUUUAGAUCUUAAAAUUACUGAGCAUGAGUCUAACGAUCAAUGGCAUGCUUGACAGCUACUCCAUGUCAUAGAUCAUGGAGUAAAUCCAAUCUGGAAAAUCUCUAUUAUAUUGGCAUAAACAUCAUGGUAUCAAAGUGACUGAAAAGAAUGUUUUCAGAAAAGGACUUGUGGAGGCAGAGGGGGGUGGGGGGAGAAAGAAAGAAAGAAAGAAAGAAAGGAAGGAAGGAAGGAAGGAAGGAGGGAGGGAGGAAGCCAUGCUUUUAUUAUAGCUCAAACAGUAGGAUUUUCAAAAUCUGGGCAUUUAUAAUAUACACUACAGCUGUAGAUAUCCACUGCCUUGCAAGACAUCUUUGAAAGGAAAAAAAGCUAAGGAGUAAACCCUAUAGAAAUCCAGAGUGGAUUCCCUAAGACAGUUGGAUGGCGCCUUGUACACCUCCUUCCAGCAACUCCUGCAGCCAAGCUGAUGCCAAAUGUAUCACUCUGCUUUCCUUUGGACCACAUCUGCGAGGUUCAGAGAGGGGUUUUGUCAUCUGGGCAGCCAAGAAUUCCCAGACGCACUGCCCAGGAGAGGUCAGUGCGGGAGGCAGUUAUGAGCUGCAGGUCUUUGCAGCCACAGCGGGUGCUGUGAUUCUCCAGCAAUUUGACUUUAUUCCUGGAGGUGCUCUCCAUUGCCCCUGAGACAGAUGGAUGCCAAGAACAGCCAUAGCACAGCUCCUACUAUGUGAUGAGCUUGAUUAAGGUCAGGAUCCAGCCCCUCAUCUGUGUGGUGCUUAUUUCAGGAAUCAAAUAUGUAAGGCCAUCCUAUUAGGCUUGUCAUGUGUCCAGCAAAUUCUGGACAUGCCAGGAAAUUGGAUGUCUAAAAUGGUGUCCUGGGAAAAAUUUUGAAUUUUAAGAGAUGUCCAGAAUUUCCUGUACGUAUGGCAACCCGGGGUUUUUUUCCUGUUGUUUUCUGCUGAGCAGUGGGAGGAAUGCCCCCCUCCCCUUACGUGGGAGACCCCAAGCUUGCUUGCGCCCUGCGCAGCAGCCCCAACUGAGGAGGAGGAGGGAAGCGUGGACGAUAGAAAGAGGGCGAGAGCAGCCCCGAGCGCCUGCCAGCCAUCCAGAGACUCCGUUAUCCUACCCCUGCCUUCCUCCCCCCUCGAGAGCUGCUGUGUUACCUUCUCAAAGCUGCCGCAGCUGCUGCCUCAGGGAGGACAAUUGAUCCCAAUCCCAGCCUGCAGAGCAGGAGGCAAAAAGCCUGGCUAAAAGGGAACAGGGUGCCAGUGGCUGCUUGCUCGGGAGCAGGUCCAAAGGAACUUACCUCCUCGGUCCCACCCUCCCAAAGCAGGAAGGAGGAAACCUCAACAAGGAGUUGAGAAAUGUGUCCUCAACAACUUUGGGGAUGUCAGGGAUUUUACUUUUUGAAAUAUGGCCAGCCUAUAUUCAGGUGGCCACAGCUACUCCACAAUUUGCAUCAGAAUCACGAAAUUAAAAGACGCCUGCUUCUUGGGAGAAAAGCAAUGACAAACCUAGACAGCAUCUUAAAAAGCAGAGACAUCACCUUGCCAACAAAGGUCCGUAUAGUUAAACUAUGGUUUUCCCAGUAUUGAUGUAUGGAAGUGAGAGCUGGACCAUAAAGAAGGCUGAUCGCCGAAGAAUUUAUGCUUUUGAAUUAUGGUGCUGGAGGAGACUCUUGAGAGUCCCAUGGACUGCAAGAAGAUCAAACGUAUCCAUUCUGAAGGAAAUCAGCCCUGAGUGCUCACUGGAAGGACAGAUCGUGAAGCUGAGGCUCCAAUACUUUGGCCACCUCAUGAGAAGAGAAGACUCGCUGGAAAAUACCCUGAUGUUGGGAAAGAUUGAGGGCACAAGGAGAAGGGGACGACAGAGGACGAGAUGGUUGGACAGUGUUCUCAAAGCUACAAACAUGAGUUUGACCAAACUGCGGGAGGCAGUGGAAGAUAGGAGUGCCUGGCAUGCUCUGGUCCAUGGGGUCACGAAGAGUCGGACAUGACUAAACGACUAAACAACAACAACAACUAGAUGGGAUCCCCUGCUUCAAUCAGCACCAGCUGCAGAAGUCCAAUAAGCAGAGCACAAAGAGAAGAUGCCUUAUCUUCUGGACAGCUCCUCUUCUGCUCAGCACCAAACACUCCCCACCAACCAGCUGACACUGCUGGACAGCUCCCCAGGCACCAGCCAGACAAGGCCAAGCAACACUGAAGCCUGGCCCAUUCUCAACAGCCCUGCCAAGUCUCAGAUCAGGGGAAACAAAUGGGCUGCCUCAGUGGGCAGAGUCGCCCUUGAGCCCCUGGGACACUCUUCAGACUUCAGCCCUUGCAGUUCUCAAGGGUCCUGAAAGCUUCAUACAUUAUCCUCUUAAUGGUGUGCACAUCUAUGCAUGUACUGUCUUGUUUAAAGGCCAAGGUGCAAAACAACCUUCAGUCAUAAGGUACUAGCUGACAAUAAUAGCUGCUAUACCUUGAAAUCUGCAGACAAAAUCACACGUAGAAAGGCCAUUAUCUGGCAUGGCUGUCUUGGAGUAAUAGAUCAUUGCAGCGCAAGGACUAGGGGGCUUGUUGACUACAACCAGAAUGAUAAUAAUAAUAAUAAUAAUAAUAAUAAUAAUAAUAAUAAUAAUAAUUUUAUUUAUAUCCCGCCCUCCCCAGCCAAAGCCGGGCUCAGAGUGGCUAACAACAGUAAAAAAUACAACAUUCUAAAAUUAAUUCAAAUCAGAUUAAUGGCAGCUAUUGGGCUAGAGUUCUGUGAGGAUUGCCAAAGGAGGGGGUCAGGCUGUGCCCUGACCAAAGGCCUGGUGGAAUAGCUCUGUCUUGCAGGCCCUGCGGAAAGAUGUCAAGUCCCGCAGGGCCCUAGUCUCUUGUGACAGAGCGUAGGUAUGAGGGUCCUAGGCCGUGAUCUGAGCAGCAGCUCCAUGACUCCAUGAAGAGCAGUUGGGAUUAAGGUGAUGCUGCUGCUACAGAGGAAUACAACUACUGCAAGUAAGAAUUAUUAUUUUUUAGAGCAAAAUAGGGAACAAGGACAACUUCACAAAGGCUAAGGGCAUGGAUGUGCCUCCAAUCCAAUAAUACAUAAUGGUCAUUUCUUCUUCCUCCUUCCUGUCUAAUCCCCAAACAGCAGUUACCUGCCCCCCUGGUGAUUUGGAAAAUUUGCUGAGACAAGUUCAAAGUGAAUAAGGAAGGGGCUGACUUAUGGAUGAGAUGGGACAAAAAAUAUGAAGGGGGGAAAAAAGAAAUUUAAGCUAAGCAAACCUCACCAUCUGUCUCGUAAUUCUGUGCAUUAUGCGACUGACAGAAAAACUCACAGUAUGAUUCAUGUGGGAAUAAAGCAGUGGCAGAUUUCCAGAUCUUCUGCAUCUGGAAACCCUUUACAUUGUUAUCAAAAUAUUUAAUAAACAGUCAGACAUAUUUAGGGAACAAAACUUUUGAGGGUAUAUUUUGCAUUAAUAUAUUGCUACUCACUAGAUGUUUUAUGAGUUCUGAAGGUCAGUGGAAGGUGUGAGUGCCCUUGAUGACAAUGAAUGCAAGUUUCUGGUCUAGCCUUGCAUGGUAACAUUACAAAUAGUGAUAGGAAUUAAGUUUCUAAAUCCUAUGUUUUGCCUUUGAUAUACUUAGGUGGUCAGAUUGCUGUACGAAAGUCAGGUAUGGCUUCCAGGCCGCUCUCAAGUCUGGCUCUUGAGUGAGAUUGAUGUUUCUUCAUUCCUUUAAAAACCUUUAUAUUUUGCCUUUCCAAAUAAAAAUUCCUCCACGGCUGCUUGCAUAUUAAGAUCAACUGUAACAGGAUAAAAUAGCCCCCAGCCUGAAACUUCCAAAUUCAAAUAACUGAUUCCAUAAAAGAGUUAAUAAAACCAGCAGUAAAAGAUCCAUAGAGUUGAAUAACAUGCCCUAUCUGAAAGCCUCCAGAAAUAGCUGUCCAAAAAUAGUGGAAUGUGGUGGACUUCUGGCUGUCAGCUGGUAAGAAGUUCCAGAAGUGUGGGGACACCACAGAAAAAGCCUUCUCUCUUCUGGGCCUUGAACAUGCCUUCAAGGCUGUUAUUCAUUGCAUCUUCCUGAAUGGCAUGGUCAGGAGAGGGGCUGGAAGAAAACAGACUGUUUUGAAUAACUUUGCUUAUCGUAAAAAGUCUGACCUGGGGGGGGGGGAUGGAUUUGUUGUGGAAGAGUUCCAAAUCAGCUUUAAUUGCACAACCUGAAUUUGCCCAUGUGUGAUUAAAUCCCACCUAAAAACAGCAACACUCUGGAACAACCACAGUUAGCAAUUCCCAUGGGUGGGAAUGUGUUUGAAAAGGCAACCAUAGAGGCUGGCUAGAGUGGCAGUCCCAGCUUCCCUUUCCUGUUCUUCUUUGGUUUUGUCCAAAUUUCUUUGCACCUACUUCUUAUAUAUUUGUCCCAUUUCCCCCGCCGCCCCUGCCCCCGGCAGUGCUAGUGAUUUCUGGCAAAUUUUAGCACAGGGGGAAAAAUGCUUCAGCUAUCAAAAACAUGGGAAACACAUGUAGUGAGCUAACAACCAGAGCAUAAAUGGGAAAAAAGAGGUGUUAUAUAGCUGUUAUAGGAACUAUACUGAUUAUGGGUUGCAGCCAAUGCUGUUUCAUCUUUGUAUCUUCAGACUGUAAGAACAUUUGUUGUCCCAUUCCUUUCUAGUGCGCCAUUUUAGUGCCGAAAUAUUUGAAAUUGACAGUAACUUUCUCAUCGACCCUCUCUGUUCUUUUCCUCCCCAGCCUAAUUACACGCUUUUAACGUUACUGAGCAAUUACUUUCAUGGAAAAUUGGGUGCACUUUUUGAUGAUAUCUGCGCUACUCAUCGAACAUUAGGUAACUUCAUGUUGCAAUUAGGAUCACUUUCACUCUACUCAGACUGAAAUUCCAUCAUCUCUCCUCAAGCUUGUGUUAUCUACACUUGAAAUGAAAACUGGGUUGUGUGUUUCUGACCUCAAGAAGAGAAGCCAAAAUCACAUCCCCAGUCCAGGUAUCCAGUAGCAGUUGAUGGUAGUGAUUCAUUAAUUUAUUAUUGGGACUACAGGAUAAGCUAAGGGAUUAUGUUUUUCUGUUUUUUUGUUUACUGGGCCUAGUUUUUGUUCCGUGUUAGUCAGUGUGGACUAAGUGAAGCAACAAGGAGAUAAGGAGAAGCAAUGGUCUCAUUUGGGAUAAGGCAGGGAUGGGAGAUCUCAGCCCACCAGGGGUUCCACUUUGGCCCAUGGGGUCUUUUUUAAAGAACCACACUCACCUGUCAAUCAACUGAGACCACUAGAUGGGCAAGAGGCAGAAUUCAGUUCUGCUGAGUUUAGCUGUGCUGUUGAUCCCUGCAGAAAGUAGGAUUGAACCCACCUACUCAUCAGCUGAUUGUGAGAGGGGGGUUAAAUCCUGCCGGGUUGGCUGCAUGAGCUAGUUCUCCGCCGUGAACUCCCACCCAUAGCUCAACCUUGCAGUAAGCAGGAUUUAACCCCCUGCCCUUCAGCUGAUGAGAGGAAGUUCAAAUCCUUCUCCAGAGCUACCUCCCCAACUUUGCCAGGUGGGUGGAACCACCCACCUGUCAAUCAUCUGAUGCCAUCGUUUCUGGGGGGAGAAAAUGAUCUGCUUCCCCGUGCCAAAAGGGUUCUCUGCUCCAGGUAGAAAGCAACUUCUUAUGUUCCACUGCAACAAUGGGGCCCAUUCCCAUAAUUUUGACAUUUCCAAAAUGGUUGCUUUAGAGCAGUGAUGGCCAAACUUGGCCCUCUAGCUGUUUUUGGACUACAACUCCCAUCAUGCCUAGCUAACAGGACCAGUGGUCAGGGAUGAUGGGAAUUGUAGUCCCAAAACAGCUGGCGGGCCAAGUUUGGCCAUCACUGCUUUAGAGGAAACUAUAGGAAAGUAUAAUAAUGCAACAUAAUAAUGCAAGGAAUGAAUAAUAAUGAAGGAAGUAUAAAUGAGAUAAAAAUGAAGGAAGUAUAAUAAUUGCACAUAAUAAUGCAAGGAAUGAAGAGGUUCUGUAUACAUGUACACUACAGUGGUGCCUCGCAAGACGAAAUUAAUUCGUUCCGCGAGUUUUGUCGUCUUGCGAUUUUUUUCGUCUUGCGAAGCAUGGUGUCGGGAAAGUUUUGGAAAAGCUUCAAAAAUCACCAAAGUCUUUAAAAACCUCUAAAAAGGCUACUAUGUACACUGCGUUCUAUGAGUUGCUCCUCGAAGUCAAGUCGCAACUGUAUUAACGGUGUUAAGAAAAAGGAAACAAACUUGCAAGAUGUUUCCGUCUUGCGAAGCAAGCCCAUAGGGAAAAUCGUCUUGCGAAGCAGCUCAAAAAACGAAAAACCCUUUCGUCUAGCGAGUUUUUCGUCUUGCGAGGCAUUCGUCUUGCGAGGCACCACUGUAUCCACAAAAUGUGUGUGUGUGUGUGUGUGCAGAAUGAAUUCCAAACAAAGCAAGAUGUUCAUGACUUUUGGUUUAUACAGUACAGCUCAGUACUGACUCUCCAGGUUUUUAGGUAGGGGGCAUUCCCAGCCCUAACAGGAGAUGCCAGGGAUUGAAUUUACUAUCUUCUGCAUGAAAAUCAGAUGCUUCACCCUAAGCUAAAACCCAAGCAGCAGUUAUUGGGACAUAGAUAUGGACGCAAUGUAUUGUUGCAUGUUCUUUUCAAAUGCAAAAUGGGUUCUCUCUUGUUUUUCCCCACGCAAGAGCUCUCUUUGCUUGCAGCUUUGCAGUAAAGAUAACUGCAAUUUACUCAGAGUGCAACCAAAAGCAACAGUAUCCAACAAUAUUUUUUUAGACCUAAUAGCUAAGAAGAAAGUUACUGUAUGUUGAAAUACCCAGUAAUCUUGGUGCUGAUUUCUGCACACUUGUCUAUGGUACAUAUAUGGAAAACACCACCGUACAGAAUUUGGACCUGAUGCUUUGUACAAGAACAUCUGGAAUAUUGCUAUUUUGGAAAAAGAGAUACUCCAUAUUCGAAUGUUGCAAGGCACAGCUACACCAGAUAUUUUAUUUUAUUUUUUUCCCCCAGGAAUAAAUGCCACUUGUAACAAGUUACACCAGCUUCCCAUGUGAUCUGGAACUCUUGAUUUAUUGUAUUCUGUGGCAAAAGAAAAGUUAUGUGAUUUGUCCCAAUGGUUCCUUAUUCUCUCUCCCCACCCCACCCCUUUGUAAUACAUUUUUCUUACAUUCAAAUCAUUUUUUAAAAAAUUAAGAAAAUAUUAUAUUCAUAACUGAGCAGGGAAUAAUAAACAGAAACAUUUGCAAAAAUAAGCAGUAGGUUUUAAUACAAUUAGCUGCCUUAACAGCAAACUGUAAAGACAAUUUGCAUAGCAAGACCAUUUUCAGAAUAUCUACAUGCCUCGUCGUUCUGGGCUUCUCAUUAAGCGGAAAUGCAGUUUCAAUCUAAAGUGUUUAUUAAUAAUACUCAUAUUGUGGAGCAAAACGCACCAUAGGACAAAUAUUAAAAGAAAACCAUUUGAUUUUGCUUCCUUGCUUGAAAGAGUAAGCCUUUAGCAGCUCGCCCUCUGCUGGCUGCAGAGCGAAAUGAGCUGGAGCAGCAACAAUAAAUGAAGAACGGUAUGGUUGGAAAGCUGAAAAGAAGAAAAUAACAAUCUGCAAAACUGUCCCAAAGUGAAAUGGAAAAGCUAACAAGCAACCCAGGUGUGGAGGAUGUUGAUUAGGGAGAGGCCAUAGCUCAGUGGAAGAACAUCGGCUUUGCAUCCAGAAGAUCCUGGGUUCAAGUCCUGCUAUCUCCGGGGUGGGCUGUCAGAGAUGCCUGCCAGAAGCCCUAUAAAGCCAGAGCCAAUCACUGCAGACAAUACUGGCCUAGACAGGCCAAUGGUUUGGCUCAUUGUAAGGCAGCCCCCUGUGUUUUUAUUCCACCUUCCAUAUCUUCUUUCAGAGAGGCAGUAUGAUGUAGUAAUAUAAAGGAAAAAUAUAGCUGAACAGAAAUUUUGAUCCAGGCCUCACUGGUGCAAGUUGCGGCACAAUAGCUCAGUUGGUGAGAGCGUGGUGCUGAUAACAUCAAGGUUGCAGGUUUGAUUCCCAUAUGGGACAGCUGCAUAUUCCUGUGUUUCAGAGGGUUGGACUAUGUUAUGUACUGAGUUGAAUAGGAUCCAAAAAGCAGCAGUCUGAUUGGUCCUAGAACAAUGUAGCAGUAUGAUUGGUCCGCAGGAGCCACCCAAUCCAGCUCCAGGUGGAAGUGAAUCCGCAACCUGAUUGGCCCACGGGAGAAUCCUGGAAUUAGCCAAUCACGUGCGGCCCAUUGUGUAAAUAAUGUAUAUAAAGCAGAUAUUUGGGGAGAACUUUCAUUCCUCACUACUAUGAGCUGAAUAAAGAGCAUGAAAUCCACACUCGACUCCGAGUAUAUUUCAGGCUAGAUGAUCCUCAGUGUCACCUCCAACUCUACAAUUCUAUGAUUUGAAGUUCAUUUACUUUAGCAAAAGUUCACUUCGCCACAUUGCUUCUCUGUGUGGGUUUCAUGAAGCAAAACAAAGGUGUGCAGGUUAUGGCCAAUUUGGAAAUUUGCUGUUGACUCUGUUGUGGCUAACUAGCUUUGGAGCUCUUAGAAAAUCCACAAUUAAUAAGUCUUUUAAACAGGUUUGAGUGGACCUAGCCACUCCUGUGGAGAACUUGGAUUUUUAAGAAUAUGAAACUUUGAAGCAGUUCCUGUUUUAGAGCAAGUUGACCAUCGAACCUGGAAGCCUGUACAGCGCUUGGAAUUUAGGGCAGCUGCAAGCUAUAGAGUUGUUUUUCUUUGUAAACCAGCACUCUGAUAGUGUACUAAUUAUUGUUCAAUUGUUUUACUGGCACAGAUUUUCGUAGUUUUUUUUUCUAUGCAGUAUCUACUUUGUAUACUUCGCUUUCUAUAGAGUAUCUAUUACAAUGAAUAGGCCCCUCAUCCCAUACUUUUCAUAAGCCCAUGUCUGAUGCCAUAAUAUCCCAUACAUUAUCUGCCAGUUUGUGAUAUUUAUUUGGUGAAUACUGUAUCACUCCUCAGGAGUGGCGCUCCCUGAGCAAUCUUGAGCAAGUUUCUCUCACUCUCCCUGGGCAACCUUUCUGCACAACCGUGAUAGGUCUGGAAGCCUUUUGAAAGGAAUACCUCUGCUCACUCAGAGAUAUAUUUACAGUCUUUAUUUACAUACAGUGGUACCUGGGGUUAAGUACUUAAUUCGUUCCGGAGGUCCGUUCUUAACCUGAAACUGUUCUUAACCUGAAGCACCACUUUAGCUAAUGGGGCCUCCUGCUGCUGCCGCGCCGCCAGAGCAUGAUUUCUGUUCUCAUCCUGAAGCAAAGUUCUUAACCUGAAGCACUAUUUCUGGGUUAGCGGAGUCUGUAACCUUAAGCGUAUGUAACCUGAAGCAUAUGUAUCCUGAGGUACCACUGUACAUAUGUACAAGGUACAGAACAUAGCUUCAUGCGUCCGAAUCCUCGGCAGCAGAUCCAGGAAGUGGGAGCUUUCUGCUCCUCCGCCAGCAGAGGAGCUUGGGAAGGCCCAAGCGCCUCCUUUGUUCCCUAUGUUUUAACCCCCUCCUGUCCUGUGCUGAAGGAAUGGGCAUUGAAUCUCCCUCUGUCCCCGAACUAGUCGAGUGGUGUUGCUGCUCUCCAGCAUCCGGGAGUGUCCUUGCUGCAUGAAUUCCUUCCCCUUGCUUGUCCUCCUCUCCCUCUCCUGUCUUUUCUAAAGGCUCCUGUUCUUCCCCCUCCCUCAGCUCUGGGGCAUUCCCUGGCAGCCCCGCAACAACAACUUGGCCAACUCAAGAUUGCUGCCUGAAGCAAAAGAGAAGAUUACCCGCUCCAUUCCACAUACAACCAUAUAUUGCAGCCUUUUAGUCCCCAAGGCUUAGUCAGUACAGCAUCUUAAUCUCAGGGUAAUGAUUUUGAGCCCCACAUUGGGCAAAAGAUUCCUGCAUUACAGGGGGAGGACUAGAUGACUCCCAUGGUCCCUUCCUAUUCUACAAUAUUCUAUGAUUUUGAAGUCCCAGUCAGGCAAGAGAAACAUGGAGGGCUGUUGACCCUUGGGCUGGGCCGCCAUCUGUCGUUAAAAUUCUUCUCAAUAUUGAUCCAGAGUAGAUUCCAAUAUAUAGUUAGCACAGUAAAAACUUACACAUAUUGCAGGCUUCCCAAAAAUAGACCAGAGGCAAUUAAUAUUUCAUCCAGCAGAGCUUUACUGCUACCGAAGGCAAAUGAGCAUAAUGGCUACAAAUCCAAUACGUUCAGGAUUGGCACUGUCCAUAAGAAAUCCAGAUGCAGCAUAAACUUAACACGAAGCAUACUAUGUACAGAACACCACAUCAGAAGGAAGAGAUAGAAAAAGAGAGUGAAACCCAUGCUUCUUCUGACCUAUUUUUAUAGUCAGCAUGACCUUGACAGAAUAUAACAGAACCAGUUCAAGCCAGCUGUACUAGCUUCUCUGAAGGAAUAACCCAAACAUCAUGAACCUUCUGCUUUUUUCUUUCGCACAGAGAAGCUUCCAGAACCCUCUUGAAUUAAUUAGAAUAGGAAAGAUCUCUACACAUCAGAUCAAUACUUUCUACACCAAGAAAUGCAAACUGACACCAUCUGUGGCAGGUAAGCUGUGUCCAUUUUGCUGCUUCCCAAGUUGAUGCAGAAUAUGCACAUCACAACACUGAACUGUCUUCCUCUCCCUAUUUAUUGAGGCCUACGACUCUACAACAUUCUGGCUCCCCCGGUGGCCUAUUAAAGGAGAUAAUAUAUAUAUAUAUAUACACACAUCACGUAAGAUCAGCCAGUAAGUUGUUCUCCUUGGCAGAUUCGGCCAGCAAAAGAUGGAGGUGGGAUGGCUGGGAGUGGAGCUAUUCGUAUCUGCCCUGAGAACUUUAUUAUGGGAGCCUUUUUCCAGCAAGUCAUAAAGAGAAAAAUAUUUUCUUGAGCUAAGCAAUAACACACAUGGCCUUGUUAAAGUUAGAGCGGGAUGGGCACUGCUGCUUAGGUUUUCCAGAUGUGUCGAAUGAAAAAGAACUCAUUUCCACAUGCAAGCGCUUGAGCCCUGACUGGGAAUGCAAAAGUCCUUAACUGAGAAGAUCCCUUCUCCGUCCAUCAUAGACUAUGUGGGUCAUCAUAAUCAUCACUCACAAACAAGAGCUAAUCCCUUUUCAGUGACCUCAAAAAUCACCACGCAUGACCUCAGCAAAUAAAGCCAUCUUAGUGUCCCCUGUCCUUUUAACAACCGUCAAUCACAGAGAUAACUAAAAAUGGCAAUGUAUGUAUUUCAUUGGUCACUAAAACUCCAGGUGGAAGAAAAAGUUUCAAAUGUAGUUCUUCUUUAAUUUGGCAGGGCCUGUUAAUAGACCUCAAUGACUGCAGGUGCUGUGCGUUUGUUUAGGAUGCAAUUUUGCUGUGAAAGCUCAAUAGCAAAGAGAAAAGAGAAGCCCCUUUUUAUUGUUGCUUAUUAAAAACAACAAUAACCUCUUUCCAUUUCAGCAGCUUUGCAUUUGGAGAUUAUCUAUUAAAACACACACAUGGCAAAAAUCAUGGGUUUUGAUAAGCAUUACCAGGAAAGAGAUUAACAAUAUUAUCCAGCUGAAUUCAGGGAGCUCAAUGAGGCUUUAACCUUCUGAUUUUGUUACACUUGUGGAACUCAAGCAAAUCUAAUGAGUAAAAGUAAAUGUCAAACAUUUAUCUAAUGCGGAGGACCUCUUCACUCCUAGAUUCCUGUGACAGCUGGCUGAACAAGAAUGAGAGAUGUAGCGGUCUUUCGUUUUAUUCCUUAACUGAAUAUACAAAAUAUUGAACAAAUGGGUAUUCAUCCCAACAUGAACUACUCCAUUUAGAGCCUUAACCUUAUUUUUAAAUAGGCAGAGCAAGAAAAGUGUCUGCGAU